UACGAAGGGGGCUAGCGUUGUUCGGAAUUACUGGGCGUAAAGCGCGCGCAGGCGGUUUUCCAAGUCAGUGGUGAAAGCCCAGAGCUCAACUCUGGAACUGCCAUUGAUACUGGAAGUCUUGAGUUCGAGAGAGGUGAGUGGAAUUCCGAGUGUAGAGGUGAAAUUCGUAGAUAUUCGGAGGAACACCAGUGGCGAAGGCGGCUCACUGGCUCGAUACUGACGCUGAGGUGCGAAAGCGUGGGGAGCAAACAGG
This 253-nucleotide ribosomal RNA is filed under the name uncultured bacterium. Its description in RNAcentral is "partial 16S ribosomal RNA". It matches the Rfam family "Bacterial small subunit ribosomal RNA", at positions 524 to 776 of the family's 1533-position model. The record is from RNAcentral.